UGGGGAAUAUUGGACAAUGGGGGGAACCCUGAUCCAGCCAUGCCGCGUGUGUGAAGAAGGCCUUAUGGUUGUAAAGCACUUUAAGCGAGGAGGAGGCUCUUUUGGUUAAUACCCAAGAUGAGUGGACGUUACUCGCAGAAUAAGCACCGGCUAACUCUGUGCCAGCAGCCGCGGUAAUACAGAGGGUGCGAGCGUUAAUCGGAUUUAUUGGGCGUAAAGCGUGCGUAGGCGGCUUUUUAAGUCGGAUGUGAAAUCCCCGAGCUUAACUUGGGAAUUGCAUUCGAUACUGGGAAGCUAGAGUAUGGGAGAGGAUGGUAGAAUUCCAGGUGUAGCGGUGAAAUGCGUAGAGAUCUGGAGGAAUACCGAUGGCGAAGGCAGCCAUCUGGCCUAAUACUGACGCUGAGGUACGAAAGCAUGGGGAGCAAACAGG
This 430-nucleotide ribosomal RNA is filed under the name Pseudomonadota bacterium. RNAcentral's name for it is "Proteobacteria bacterium partial 16S ribosomal RNA". It matches the Rfam family "Bacterial small subunit ribosomal RNA", at positions 355 to 776 of the family's 1533-position model. Lineage: Bacteria; Pseudomonadati; Pseudomonadota. The record is from RNAcentral.